GACGAACGCUGGCGGCGUGCUUAACACAUGCAAGUCAAGGGGGCCCGCAAGGGUAACCGGCGAACGGGUGCGUAACACGUGAGCAAUCUGCCUAGAUGUGGGGGAUAGCCGGCCCAACGGCCGGGUAAUACCGCAUACGCUCGUCGACUGGCAUCAGUUGACGAGGAAACUUUCGAGGCAUCUAGAGGAGCUCGCGGCCUAUCAGCUAGUUGGUGGGGUAACGGCCUACCAAGGCGGUGACGGGUAGCUGGUCUGAGAGGAUGGCCAGCCACAUUGGGACUGAGAUACGGCCCAGACUCCUACGGGAGGCAGCAGUGGGGAAUAUUGCGCAAUGGCCGAAAGGCUGACGCAGCGACGCCGCGUGGGGGAUGAAGCAUUUCGGUGUGUAAACCCCUGUUGCUCGGGACGAACAAGCCUUUUCGAGGGCUCUGACGGUACCGAGUGAGGAAGCACCGGCUAACUCCGUGCCAGCAGCCGCGGUAAU
RNAcentral lists this ribosomal RNA (484 nucleotides) under uncultured bacterium. RNAcentral describes it as "bacterial SSU rRNA". It matches the Rfam family "Bacterial small subunit ribosomal RNA", at positions 28 to 524 of the family's 1533-position model. The record is from RNAcentral.